This 480-nucleotide ribosomal RNA is filed under the name Serratia sp. (in: enterobacteria). Its description in RNAcentral is "bacterial SSU rRNA". It matches the Rfam family "Bacterial small subunit ribosomal RNA", at positions 804 to 1284 of the family's 1533-position model. Lineage: Bacteria; Pseudomonadati; Pseudomonadota; Gammaproteobacteria; Enterobacterales; Yersiniaceae. The record is from RNAcentral.
AAACGAUGUCGACUUGGAGGUUGUGCCCUUGAGGCGUGGCUUCCGGAGCUAACGCGUUAAGUCGACCGCCUGGGGAGUACGGCCGCAAGGUUAAAACUCAAAUGAAUUGACGGGGGCCCGCACAAGCGGUGGAGCAUGUGGUUUAAUUCGAUGCAACGCGAAGAACCUUACCUGGUCUUGACAUCCACAGAACUUUCCAGAGAUGGAUUGGUGCCUUCGGGAACUGUGAGACAGGCGCUGCAUGGCUGUCGUCAGCUCGUGUUGUGAAAUGUUGGGUUAAGUCCCGCAACGAGCGCAACCCUUAUCCUUUGUUGCCAGCGGUCCGGCCGGGAACUCAAAGGAGACUGCCAGUGAUAAACUGGAGGAAGGUGGGGAUGACGUCAAGUCAUCAUGGCCCUUACGACCAGGGCUACACACGUGCUACAAUGGCGCAUACAAAGAGAAGCGACCUCGCGAGAGCAAGCGGACCUCAUAAAGUGC